AGCAGCCGCGGUAAUUCCAGCUCCAAUAGCGUAUAUUAAAGUUGUUGCAGUUAAAAAGCUCGUAGUUGAAUUUCGGGAUCAGUUGGUCGGUCGUGCCUCGGUACGUACUGGUCAAAUUGAUUCCUACCUUCUGACGAACCACGAUGUCAUUAAUUUGGUGUCGCGGGAAAUCAGGACUGUUACUUUGAAAAAAUUAGAGUGUUUAAAGCAGGCUCGCGCUUGAAUACAUUAGCAUGGAAUAAUGAAAUAGGACGUUUGAUUCUAUUUUGUUGGUUUCUAGGAUCGACGUAAUGAUUAAUAGGGAUAGUUGGGGGCAUUAGUAUUCAAUUGUCAGAGGUGAAAUUCUUGGAUUUAUUGAAGACUAACUACUGCGAAAGCAUUUGCCAAGGAUGUUUUCAUUAAUCAAGAACGAAAGUUAGGGGAUCGAAGACGAUCAGAUACCGUCGUAGUCUUAACCAUAAACUAUGCCGACUGGGGAUCGGAUGAUGUUAAUUUUUUAAUGACUCAUUCGGCGCCUUAC
RNAcentral lists this unclassified non-coding RNA (520 nucleotides) under uncultured Glomus. RNAcentral's name for it is "SSU rRNA". It matches the Rfam family "Eukaryotic small subunit ribosomal RNA", at positions 569 to 1091 of the family's 1831-position model. The record is from RNAcentral. Lineage: Eukaryota; Fungi; Glomeromycota; Glomeromycetes; Glomerales; Glomeraceae.